AGGAGCUUUCUGAACUUGGAGAAGGUUGGUAAACAGGAGGUUGACAGCCAAAUGUUGGUGCCCCCCUACAUCGAGGGAAUGGGGACUGUGUUGCAUGGAUGCGUUCCAGUUGGAGGAGAGCUUUGCUCUGCGUAGAUGCUCUUGGGUCAGGUGAAGCCAGCAGGAUUCUUGCAAACCAGAUGGAGAGAGAAGAAAUCACACAAUUUAAAAGAAAGAGGCAGCAAGGAUUCUCCCUCUUGCAACAACUCUUCAGCCGUAGGAGUUUCUGAGCCCGUCCCAAGAAAGGAUUCCUGAUGGGACAUUUCCUGUUCACAUUGCUGUCUUUCUCAUGAGAAUCCACUCUCAGACCCCAUGCCUCCUCGUGGACUCUGACAGAUGGUGGCAUCCAACUGGACCCUGACUGAGCAGAGUAAGGAGGAGUCAGGGACAUGAGACAAUACUGGUGCUGCUGGAG
This is a long non-coding RNA of Melospiza georgiana, 454 nucleotides long. RefSeq lists it as uncharacterized. The record is from RefSeq and is a predicted model, not a curated record. The transcript is spliced from 3 exons. Lineage: Eukaryota; Metazoa; Chordata; Aves; Passeriformes; Passerellidae.